GGAGGAUCCGAGCGUUAUCCGGAUUUAUUGGGUUUAAAGGGAGCGUAGGUGGAUUGUUAAGUCAGUUGUGAAAGUUUGCGGCUCAACCGUAAAAUUGCAGUUGAAACUGGCAGUCUUGAGUACAGUAGAGGUGGGUGGAAUUCGUGGUGUAGCGGUGAAAUGCUUAGAUAUCACGAAGAACUCCGAUUGCGAAGGCAGCUCACUAGACUGUUACUGACACUGAUGCUCGAAAGUGUGGGUAUCAAACAGGAUUAGAUACCCUGGUAGUCCACACAGUAAACGAUGAAUACUCGCUGUUUGCGAUAUACAGUAAGCGGCCAAGCGAAAGCAUUAAGUAUUCCACCUGGGGAGUACGCCGGCAACGGUGAAACUCAAAGGAAUUGACGG
RNAcentral lists this ribosomal RNA (387 nucleotides) under uncultured bacterium. RNAcentral's name for it is "bacterial SSU rRNA". It matches the Rfam family "Bacterial small subunit ribosomal RNA", at positions 527 to 916 of the family's 1533-position model. The record is from RNAcentral.